UGGGGAAUAUUGCACAAUGGGCGCAAGCCUGAUGCAGCAACGCCGCGUGAGGGACGACGGCCUUCGGGUUGUAAACCUCUUUUAGUAGGGAAGAAGCGAAAGUGACGGUACCUGCAGAAAAAGCACCGGCUAACUACGUGCCAGCAGCCGCGGUAAUACGUAGGGUGCGAGCGUUGUCCGGAAUUAUUGGGCGUAAAGAGCUCGUAGGCGGUCUGUCGCGUCUGCUGUGAAAACCCGAGGCUCAACCUCGGGCCUGCAGUGGGUACGGGCAGACUAGAGUGCGGUAGGGGAGAAUGGAAUUCCUGGUGUAGCGGUGGAAUGCGCAGAUAUCAGGAGGAACACCGAUGGCGAAGGCAGUUCUCUGGGCCGUAACUGACGCUGAGGAGCGAAAGCGUGGGGAGCGAACAGGAUUAGAUACCCUGGUAGUCCACGCCGUAAACGUUGGGCGCUAGAUGUGGGGACCAUUCCACGGUUUCCGUGUCGCAGCUAACGCAUUAAGCGCCCCGCCUGGGGAGUACGGCCGCAAGGCUAAAACUU
This 537-nucleotide ribosomal RNA is filed under the name uncultured bacterium. RNAcentral's name for it is "partial 16S ribosomal RNA". It matches the Rfam family "Bacterial small subunit ribosomal RNA", at positions 355 to 902 of the family's 1533-position model. The record is from RNAcentral.